GACGAAACGCUGGCGGCGUGCUUAACACAUGCAAGUCGAGCGGGGAGGCUUUUCGGCACCGGCUGCUGAGGCUCAAGGGUCACAGGAGCAGGUGCUGGAAGGACUUCCAGCGGCGGACGGGUGAGUAACGCGUGAACAAUCUGUCCCAGACAGGGGGAUAACAGAUGGAAACAUCUGCUAAUACCGCAUAAGACCACGGAGCCGCAUGGCACUGGGGUAAAAGGAGCAAUCCGGUUUGGGUGAGUUCGCGUCUGAUUAGCUAGUUGGUGAGGUAACGGCCCACCAAGGCGACGAUCAGUAGCCGAACUGAGAGGUUGAUCGGCCACACUGGAACUGAGACACGGUCCAGACACCUACGGGUGGCAGCAGUAGGGAAUAUUGGGCAAUGGGCGAAAGCCUGACCCAGCCAUGCCGCGUGAGUGAUGAAGGUCCUAGAGAUUGUAAAACUCUUUUCUGUAGGAAAGAAUAAAUAGGGAAGGAAAUGUCCUUAUUUGUAC
RNAcentral lists this ribosomal RNA (497 nucleotides) under uncultured bacterium. Its description in RNAcentral is "bacterial SSU rRNA". It matches the Rfam family "Bacterial small subunit ribosomal RNA", at positions 32 to 478 of the family's 1533-position model. The record is from RNAcentral.